UAUCAACGCAGAGUACACAUUCUUAAGAAACACAUGCAUUCUUGCCUUAACUGAGGACUGAAAUAACAAAACCAAACAAAAAUAACAGAACUUUAAGUGCCCUGAUGGAAAUGUACAGUAUGAGUUACAUCCAUCCAUCUAUCUAUACACACACUUAUAUGUAUAUACAAUAUAUACAUACAAAUGAUAAUAGCUGUGCCAAAAAUGUGCAUAUUUAACACAGUUUUAAAAAGCCAGUAGAUCAUGGUAUAAUACAAUUUAUUUCCACUAGUGAAUGGCACAAAUGAAGAAAUGCAAAGGAGGUGUUUCAAGUACAAUGAAGUCAUUUUUCACAGGUGAAAAUAAAUAGUAUUAUUCCAGUGUCCAACACAAUGUAUUCUAUAAAAGUUUAAAAUGCCAGACAUUUAGUAUUUACAGAAAUAGAAAGUCACUAAAGUCUGCUUUAUGGUCUGAAAAAGACACUCAUAGAGUUUUCAAUUUUUGAAAAGGGGGUGAGAAAAAAAUUGGUGGAGGUGGGAGGGAGUGUCCAGGAUAGUUUCUUUAGUGUACUGAAUGUUUGCCUGAUGUCUAGGCAACCAAAUAUCAUAAUGACUAUGCUAAAAUGUUCCAUUUACCAACAAAUCCUUGACCUAGAGUAUUAAGCAUAUUACACCAGUGUGUGUGGCUUCAAAUGUAAGACUCUUUAUCUGUAGGUAUUGAAAUGGCAAAUAAGAAUUGCAGCUCUGAAAAUAUAAUAUAAACACAUUUUUCAGAUAACAUUAUACAAACAAAAAUACUUCUGGAUACUAGAAUUUGGGGUUUGAGCUGACUUCAAUAAGGGGAGGAAAAAAUAUGUGCAAAGGGAAGGGAGCUCAAUUUGGAAUAAUAUAUUUCAAAGUAUGUGGCUUUGCAUUUUUAAAAUGCUAACCAAAAAAAUGGGAGAUAGAGUGACACCAAGGAACUUUUUACAGCCAGCCUCUGGAUACCAGAUAUAGCAUUUACAACUUCUUGAUAUGCUACACAAAUUUUCCACACUUUUAAUUUUCUUAAAGACAUAUAUAGUGAGUGAACACCAACACUGGGAAGGAGGUAGUGUUAAUUUGAUCAAAUAUUGAUAUUUGCCCACUGAUUCCCCAGAGAGUGCUUGCUCUUUCCCUAGGAUAUCUCGAAACCUUUCCAAUUUUUCUGCUACAAGCUUUACUCUGUGAUGGUUCCUACCAUGUAUGAGAUUCCUCAGAAGCUAGAUCUCACAAACAUAUACAAAGCAAUUAAUUUGAAUCAUUUUUGUAAACUAUAUAUAUACUUUAAAAUUAACUUAAUGGUAAAAUCCAGGCAGAGUCAUGAUCUACAUGUAAAACAGGUGGCCAAAUAAUUACAUAAGAUAAAAAACCCUACUGGAGAUCUGAAUGGACUCAGUAACUCAAUUUGACUUAAAUUUAAGUCCACAACUGGACUUUAAAAUGUACCACCAGUAGUAUUUUGGGUUUGAAAGAGUUUUGUAUGCAAAACUAAUCUGCUUCCCUAUUCCACCCAUCCAGUAGUACAGAGCAGCCAGAUCUAUGAAAAAUUUUUAAGGGUAUCAAAUUAUAUUUUUGAUAUUUUAUUAAAUUCUAAAGCUCUCUCUUAUCAUUUGACACCAAAUACGUAGAUUUCUCAAUUUGUUGGAAACACUAUAAUACCUGAAUGCAAAAAAGAUACUGAGACAACCAAAAGCCCCUUUCACUGAUAUUUUAAGUACAUGUCAUAUUUACCUAAAAACUGGUGACCUGGAGCAUGGCCGAAAGGACAACACAUAAGAGUGCUUCUUGAAACACUGCCUAAAAUUUUGUGUGAACUCUAUGGUGAUUUUGGUUUUAAAAACAUUUACAUUAAAACAUUAAUUUCCUUCCAGUUUCCUGAAUCUCAGAAACUCCUACAGGCGAGGAUUCAUGGCAACUCGACUGAC
This 1924-nucleotide long non-coding RNA is filed under the name Macaca fascicularis (crab-eating macaque). RNAcentral describes it as "lncRNA (ENSMFAG00000053336.1)". Lineage: Eukaryota; Metazoa; Chordata; Mammalia; Primates; Cercopithecidae. The record is from RNAcentral.